This 200-nucleotide ribosomal RNA is filed under the name uncultured bacterium. RNAcentral describes it as "partial 16S ribosomal RNA". It matches the Rfam family "Bacterial small subunit ribosomal RNA", at positions 8 to 213 of the family's 1533-position model. The record is from RNAcentral.
AGAGUUUGAUCAUGGCUCAGAUUGAACGCUGGCGGCAUGCCUAACACAUGCAAGUCGGGCGGCAGCAUGAUGUGUAGAAAUACAUAUUGAUGGCGAGCGGCGGACGGGUGAGUAGAGCGUAGAAGUCUACCUUAUAGAGGAGGAUAACUUGGGGAAACCUGAGCUAAUACUGCGUAAGUUCUACGGAAGAAAGGCCGGGA